AGAGUUUGAUCAUGGCUCAGGACAAACGCUGGCGGCGUGCCUAAAACAUGCAAGUCGAACGGAGUGGCUUCGGUCACUCAGUGGCAGACGGCUGAGUAACACGUGAGUAACCUGCCCGGACGUGGGGAAUAACCCCGAGAAAUCGGGGCUAAUACCGCAUGUGGUGUCUAGGUGAGUGCCUGGACAAGAAAGCCUUCGGGCGCGUUCGGAGGGGCUCGCGGCCCAUCAGCUAGUUGGUGGGGUAAUGGCCUACCAAGGCGAUGACGGGUAGCUGGUCUGAGAGGAUGAUCAGCCAGACUGGGACUGGGACACGGCCCAGACUCCUACGGGAGGCAGCAGUUAGGAAUCUUGCGCAAUGGGCGAAAGCCUGACGCAGCGACGCCGCGUGGAGGACGAAGGCCUUCGGGUUGUAAACUCCUUUUGUCGGGGAAGAGACAAGGACGGUACCCGACGAAGAAGCCCCGGCUUACUACGUGCCAGCAGCCGCGGUAAUACGUAGGGGGCGAGCGUUGUCCGGAUUUACUGGGCGUAAAGCGCGCGUAGGCGGUCUUGCGCGUCGGUGGUGAAAGCCUGCGGCUCAACCGCAGGAGGCCCGCCGAUACGGCAAGGCUGGAGGGCGGCAGAGGAAGGUGGAAUUCCCGGUGUAGUGGUGAAAUGCGUAGAGAUCGGGAGGAACACCAGUGGCGAAGGCGGCCUUCUGGGCCGUUCCUGACGCUGAGGCGCGAAAGC
RNAcentral lists this ribosomal RNA (729 nucleotides) under uncultured bacterium. RNAcentral's name for it is "bacterial SSU rRNA". It matches the Rfam family "Bacterial small subunit ribosomal RNA", at positions 8 to 760 of the family's 1533-position model. The record is from RNAcentral.